RNAcentral lists this long non-coding RNA (941 nucleotides) under Equus caballus (horse). Its description in RNAcentral is "lncRNA (ENSECAG00000046557.1)". Lineage: Eukaryota; Metazoa; Chordata; Mammalia; Perissodactyla; Equidae. The record is from RNAcentral.
CUGACCCCCUAGUACAGAGCAGGACUUUUUUUAGGCCUGUAACUCAUGCCAAUUCAGCAGCCUAGGGCACAUCUCAACUCAAGUGCCUCUCACACGGAGUCCUGGAAAGUGACCGUGACUCUAGGCGGCUCUGAGAUUGGAGGCAGGGCUGCAGAGCGGGUGGAAGGAAGCGGAAGUGAUUCGACUCAGGUCAACAGCAUCAACUCAGCACCUACUGUGAGGCGGACACACCAGGUGAGAAGAAAAUGUGGACAAUUAAACCCUCAUGUGGGAACCCAGGUAGAGCAAACCACGCAGCCCAGGCUGACUCGCCCAUCCUCUCCAGUGCGUGCGGGUAAAGCGAGAAUCCCAUGGUACAGCAUCAACCCCCAGCAAGGAAAGCAGCUAUUGAAACUUGCUGAGCACGGAACAGCGGGGACAGAUCAUACCGAAACCAGAUCUGGCAAGCGGGGUGCUGCAGAAACUGCUGCUGCAGGUGGACCGGACGGCUUCUGCCGGGGCUUCCCCGUGACAUGCCAGCUGUUUCUCAUCUUCCUGGGUCGGCCCACAUCCCACCCAUUGCCGCCCACAAGGGAACAUUCAGAGGUUUCGUUUAGGGAAAGAGGGGCUAUUUUGCUUUCGUUCUUUUUCUCGGUGUUUUGAGUUAUCGCUUUAAUACCCUAACUGCUUGGUCAUGAUUUAGCUCAGGUGGGUUCCAGGAAUUAUUGAGUAACCACCUCUCUAUUUUGGGCAUUUCCAAGUACAUGAUGACGACCAUUUAUUGAUUCUUUACUAUAUGUCCAAAAACAUGCCAAGCAUCUAUAUCCCUGAUAUCACUUAAUCUCCAUAGCCAUCCCAGAAAGUCAGUUGUAUUUUUAUUUCCAUAUUAAUCAUGAGAUGUUGGGUCUCCAUGAGUUCAGGUCGCUUGUCCAAGUUCACGAGCUAAUAAAUGGCAUAGCCAA